UACGAACUGUCCAAACGUUAUUCGGAAUCACUGGGCUUAAAGGGUGCGUAGGCGGCGUAGUAAGUUGGAUGUGAAAUCCUACGGCUCAACCGUAGAAUUGCGUUCAAUACUGCUAUGCUUGAGGGAGAUAGAGGUAAGCGGAACUUCGGGUGGAGCGGUGAAAUGCGUAGAUAUCCGAAGGAACACCAGUGGCGAAAGCGGCUUACUGGGUCUCUUCUGACGCUGAGGCACGAAAGCUAGGGUAGCGAACGGG
Molecule: ribosomal RNA, 253 nt
Filed under: uncultured bacterium
Lineage: Bacteria
Description: partial 16S ribosomal RNA
Rfam family: Bacterial small subunit ribosomal RNA
Source: RNAcentral